AGGAGGAACAGCCCCAGUGGUGGGGCCAGCUCUGGAGCCCUGGAUUCAGCUCCGGCAGUAACUCCGGAGCUCUCCGUCUGCAGGGCCUGGAGGCUCCGGGGCGGG
This is a non-coding RNA of Canis lupus familiaris (dog), 105 nucleotides long. Lineage: Eukaryota; Metazoa; Chordata; Mammalia; Carnivora; Canidae. The record is from Rfam.